CAGCAGAUGAUGUUAAUACUAAUACAUCACUGAGAUCUUUUGGUUUUUGAUGUCUAAAAAAUCGAGCUUUUUAAAACUGAUGCUUA
Oryza brachyantha (malo sina) is the source of this 86-nucleotide non-coding RNA. The record is from Rfam. Lineage: Eukaryota; Viridiplantae; Streptophyta; Magnoliopsida; Poales; Poaceae.